RNAcentral lists this ribosomal RNA (433 nucleotides) under uncultured bacterium. RNAcentral describes it as "partial 16S ribosomal RNA". It matches the Rfam family "Bacterial small subunit ribosomal RNA", at positions 38 to 507 of the family's 1533-position model. The record is from RNAcentral.
GGGGGGGGGGGGGGGGGGGCCGGGCGGAUGCAAGUCGAGCGAACUCUUCGGGGGGGGUGGCGGGCGGGGGGGGGCGCCGGGGGAACGGGCGUGUUGGGUCGGAAUAGCUCAGGGAACCUUGUGCUACUACCGAAUGUGCCCUUCGGGGGAAAGAUUUAUCGCCCUUAGAGCGGCCCGCGGCUGAUUAGCUAGUUGGGGAGGUAACGGCUCACCAAGGCGACGAUCAGUACCUGGUCUGAGAGGAUGACCAGCCACACUGGGACUGAGACACGGCCCAGACUCCUACGGGAGGCAGCAGUGGGGAAUCUUGCGCAAUGGGCGAAAGCCUGACGCAGCCAUGCCGCGUGAAUGAUGAAGGUCUUAGGAUUGUAAAAUUCUUUCACCGGGGACGAUAAUGACGGUACCCGGAGAAGAAGCCCCGGCUAACUUCGUG